CCUGACUGCUAUCGGAUUGAUACUAAGCCAUGCGAGUCAUUGUAGUAAUACAAGGCAGACGGCUCAGUAACGCGUAGUCAACCUACCCUAUGGACGGGAAUAACCUCGGGAAACUGAGAAUAAUGCCCGAUAGAACAUUAUGCCUGGAAUGGUUUAUGUUCCAAAUGAUUAUCGCCGUAGGAUGGGACUGCGUCCUAUCAGUUUGUUGGUGAGGUAAUGGCCCACCAAGACUAUUACAGGUACGGGCUCUGAGAGGAGUGGCCCGGAGAUGGGUACUGAGACACGGACCCAGGCCCUAUGGGGCGCAGCAGGCGAGAAAACUUUGCAAUGUGCGAAAGCACGACAAGGUUAAUCCGAGUGGUUUCUGCUAAAGGAACCUUUUGUCGGUCCUAGAAACACCGAUGAAUAAGGGGUGGGCAAGUUCUGGUGUCAGCCGCCGCGGUAAAACCAGCACCUCAAGUUGUCAGGAUGAUUAUUGGGCCUAAAGCAUCCGUAGCCGGCUCUGUUAGUUUUCGGUUAAAUCUAUACGCUCAACGUAUAGGCUGCCGGGAAUACUGCAGAGCUAGGGAGUGGGAGAGGUAGACGGUACUCGGUAGGAAGGGGUAAAAUCCUUUGAUCUAUUGAUGACCACCUGUGGCGAAGGCGGUCUACCAGAACACGUCCGACGGUGAGGGAUGGAAGCUGGGGGAGCAAACCGGAUUAGAUACCCGGGUAGUCCCAGCUGUAACUAUGCAAACUCAGUGAUGCAUUGGCU
This 754-nucleotide ribosomal RNA is filed under the name uncultured bacterium. Its description in RNAcentral is "bacterial SSU rRNA". It matches the Rfam family "Archaeal small subunit ribosomal RNA", at positions 21 to 784 of the family's 1478-position model. The record is from RNAcentral.